RNAcentral lists this long non-coding RNA (10908 nucleotides) under Sarcophilus harrisii (Tasmanian devil). RNAcentral's name for it is "lncRNA (ENSSHAG00000030184.1)". Lineage: Eukaryota; Metazoa; Chordata; Mammalia; Dasyuromorphia; Dasyuridae. The record is from RNAcentral.
AAGAGUGAAAAGAAAUUCUCGUUCUUUUCCUAUACUGCUUCCUGGUGAUCUGUAACAUCAUGCUGCCAAAAAAAAAAAUUCUAAUGUUUCAGAACAAGCCAUUGACAAGUUACAGAUUCUCAGGAAUUCUCUGUUCCCUCCACCCCACAACAGAGGGAAAAUAAGGAAUCCCAAAGAGUGAGAAAGAUUCUCCCACUCACCCUCUCCCAGAAUCUACUUUAUACUGAGUGUGAAGUGUUUCCUAAAAUGUGGGGUGGAGAGUAGAGGAGGUGGGGGUGGACAGAGAUGUCAGCAAUUUGCCUUUAACUGUGCUUUGUCCCAAGUGUGUAUCAAGGUCCUGCAAUUCCCUGCUUAAAUGAUGUGCUAUACCUUUAAGCCAGAUCCUCUGGAAAAGACUUAUUUCUAGGACUGUCAGGCAAAAUGUAAAUUAACUUUAGAACCAAGCUUGUUUGUUAUUGUGAACAUCUUUUCCUCUUCUGACUUAGAAAAUUUUGUGGCAUUGUGCCAUUUUUCUAAAGACUAUUUCAACUGAAAAGUCCUUGCCUCAUAUCAUUCAGCCCUUCCUGUUGGUAUUCCUUGAUGCUCUUUUAUCAUAUUAUAAAGUUCCUGCUCCAAACGAGAGAGAAACAUGAAAAGACAGAGAUGGAGACAGAGAUAGAGAAACACAUAGAGACACACAGGAAUGCAGAAGGACACAUAAAGAAGCAAAGAGAGAUGGGAAAGGGGCAGAGAGGGGGAGAGAGAGAGAGAGGAAGCCAAUAUUUUAUGGAGAAACCAUUUUCUUCUGUCCGUAGGGGAGGCAAGCUGUAGAUGCCAAACAUAAUAUGAAAAAGUAGGUAUUUCUCAGUGUUUCAAGAAGCAUUAUCGAAAUCAGGCUCUAUUUACAGGAUGCAGAAGGCUCAGCUCAGAGUUCUAAAACAGUUGGCUGGCUAGGGUCAUUUAUGAUCAUUAGAGCAUUAACUUACUGCUGGUUUACUAAAAUAAAUGUAAAUAUUCUACAUGUGUUCCAGAGUAUAAAAUGGAAAAUGAAUACUCUAAGAAAGUCCUGAGAAAAUGAAAUGGAAAAUGAAUACUCUGGGAAAGUCCUGAGAAAACCAAAAGAAUUGUUCUCCUAUUCUAUCGAGAACCUAUUUCCAUUUUUAAAGGAUCUCAAUGAAGCAUGAUUAAUUUCAAGGGGAAAAAAAUAAUCAUUGGGCCAAUCAAAAAUGUCCUUCUAGAUACAGGAAGGUAUCACUUCAAUUCUGCCUCUACAUGGGAGGAAGGGAGAUUUUCCUCUUCUCCUUUGCCCUCAAUUCCUCACCAUGCCUCUGCCUCCUUCCGAAAUCUAACUAGAAGAGAGAUGGCCACUACUUGCCAAGGGCCAGAAGGAGUUUUCUUAGCUAUCCCUGCCUCCUUCCCCUCUCUCUUUCUUCUUGCCUCCAGAUUUUCAGAGUCCAACCACUCAUACACAGAGGUUUCUUUCUCUCCCUCUUCCUCAUGUCCUACACACAAUAGUAGUACAGGUGUUGUUAAACAUUCUUAGUUACCCUUAGUUUAUGUCCAACUCUGGGAGAAUCAAGGCUGAACAUUAUUGAGAGAAUAAAUACUUAGCCUUCAAACAGUCAUUUUAUUCAUGUGCUUUAAAAUGGCCAUAACCUAUUAAAUUGCUUAAAUGACAGAAGGAGGUGGGAGAGAAAAAAAAAAGGAAAAUGCUGUGGGCUAACCAUGUCCCACAUGAUAGACAAUUAACUAUUCAAGUUUCCCAAACAUUGAAGUAGAUUCUCUCAGGUUAGAUGUACGAUAGAAGCGAUCUCUCACAUCAUUGCUGUUAGUGCACAUUCAUUCCUUUGCAUUCGUAUUACUUUGACCAUAAUAUUACACAUGAUGUGCAUUACACUUACCAGCUUUAGGAGGUGGAUACUCAGGUAAAAACAUAUGUAGGGCUGGAACUACCUGGGAGAGCUUUGCCUCCAUUCUCUUUUGCCACAUAGGAACAGGAGACUAGCUGGUCAUGUGGCUGGUGGAAUGAGGCAAAAUAUAGUUCCAACCUUUCUAGUGCUUUACCCUGGGAAAUAAGAGAAAGAAAUAUGUCAUGUGCAAAAUAACACUGGUUCAUGGGUCCAAGAGUGGGAUUUUCUUAAAUGAACAUCAUGUAUGAUACUUGGAAAUAUUCUCAAUUAUAUUCCAUCUUUCGGAAGUCGGUGUCUAUUUUAUAACAUCGAUUUGAGAAGCUUAACGACAACUUGCCAAAUGAAGAAAUAUAUUUCUAUUGCCAGACAGAAAGAAUCUCCAAGAUAUCUUAUAAUGAUGUCUAUUCCUUAGCAUCUUACCAAAGGGUGAUAUUCCACUGUCUUUUCUAAACCAAGUAUAAUCAAAACAAAAAAAAAGCAUUUGUUUUUGGUCACUUUGGUUCAGUGUGGUGAUAGGAAUGAUGGGAUAAAAUGUCUCAAGAAAAAUCACGCCAAGAUAAAAGUCUAAGCGGAGUGUGGAAUAAUACCUUAGCAGCCUCUAGCAAGGCAGAUGUAAAUGCUCAUGUAUAUUCUGUAUAUAGUUCAUUGAAAUGUUGUGUCAUCUUCUGUUGUGUGUGGUUGACCAUGGCUUUGAAUGGAUGCUUAAAAAUCCCGACACCUGUAAAUAACGUUCACAUGUUCUGACGGCUGCUUUCAGUGCUAGCCCGCUUUGUCACCAUUCGGGCCCAAACCAGAAUCUUUCAGCUCUUGUUCAUUCUCAGCCAUUUUCUGGUGCAGUUCUGUGACCCUGCUGCAAGUCAUCGCAAGGUCCAUUUGUUCAGUGCCUCCUCCCUCCCCCUCUCCCGCCAGCUGGGGCAGUGGCUGUUGAGUGUGUCUAAUGGAGAUGGGGGAAUCAGCAACACCAGCAGAACCUGCUAGGCCUGCCAGCCGCUGCUGCUGCUGCCUCAUAGGAAGUGGAGGGCAAAACCCCGGAGAGUUUCUUUUAUGGCUAUUUGUUUAUCCAGAUCUCAAUUAUCAGUGCUCACUAAAGGGGGUCAGGGAUAGAAAGAAAAAACUGAAAUUGACAAAUACUCCAAAGCCUAGUUUUUGCCAAAUCUUUGGGUUUCUAUUGUUCUCAUCACCUAAUUUCCAUUUUUUUCACCCAAUUUACUAAUGAAGACCAGCUUUUAGUUUUCUAAAAUGUUUUGGUUUUCCUUCCUAUUUUUACAAAAGUUUCACUACGAUGGAUAAUAAAAGGUUAAAUGAUCAAAAAGAGGAAAAAGGGGAUGAGAAACUAAGGACAUGAAACCCCAAAGGAAUCCACAAACAGAUAAUCCAUUUGUGAGAAAAUGUGGAUAACAGGUUAUCUGUGGUCCUAUAAUUAAUCAUUUGAGGCCAUCCAAGCCCCAUUGGAGACACCUGUUCCAGAGAAAUGCACUAUUUGAAUGUAUCAUGGAAAAAGCAAUGGAUUUGGAGAUAGAAGACGAGUUCAAAUCUAGAGUUUACUGUGGAUUAAUGGGUAACCCAGUGAAAGACUUCCCCAAAUGGGAAUCAGUUUUCUUUUCUGUAAAAUAAAGGGGUUGGAUGAUAUCCUAAGAUUCUACCCAGUUCUCAUAUCCAAUUACAUCUCUGUCAUCACAAGUUUUUUGGCAUGAAAAGGAAAGAUUUAGAGGAACACAAAUUGACUCAACCUUGAUGAGAACAUAUAACAGGAACUUAGCUUGACUGAUAGCUGUCAAUUCUCAACCAGUGUAUACUAUUUAGAAGCAUAGAUUUUUCUAGGUAUUCAAAAAUUAAAAUUCAAUACCAAAAUCAUCAUGGGCUAUGAAAAAGCUAAGACUCAGAGUUAGGUUGGUUUUUUCCCUUCUUCAGUUUCCCAAUCCAAAGAUUUUUCACAUCCAAAGAAGGAACUUGUGGCUGUUCCUGGUCUACCUGCUCUACCCCAACAGAUAUUUAUCCUCAUCCUAGAAUAAUAAAAGCUAAUGAGACGAUUGAAUUUGCAGUCCGGUUUAGCAGGACAAUUUUACUCACAGACAACUCUGCCUGCCUUCCCUGCCAUAACAACAAUCAAAAUGGAGCAUCCAAAUAACAGUAUAUUUGUCUCAGGUAGACAUGGUCACAAGAUCAAACUAUCACUGACAGAAAGCUGGAGUACCCAUGGCCAUCAAGAGGUAACACCCCCCUCUUGUAUGAGGAGUAUAUAAGCAGGAACAUUUCAUAAUAAUAGCCCACUUCUCAUUCCCAUGCUAAGAAAGCAGUAAAGGAAGGAGGGAGGCAUAUUUUCAGGCAUGGCUAUUUUCUGAAUGCCAGUUAUUGAAAUUUCAAAUUAUAUAUGCACAUUUAAUCUGCUUGGCUUCUACACAGCAUUUCCUUUCUCAGAUCAUCCUCCCUGUGCCAGUUCCUUGUCUGGAAUUUGUUUCAUUUUGCCUCAGGUAACAUGAUUGAAAAGACUUCUUUUCUAAGAGGAUUUUUUUUUCUUUCUUUUUCAUUCCCAACUUUCACAACUCAUCUUGAAAACUCAGCCCAUAAGCAUCUCUACUUCCUCAGUCUUGGAUAUCUCCUUGGAUGUCAUAGUCUUCACUCACAAAAAUGGCUUUGAAAAAACUAUCCUCAGAUUCCUGCCUCAGUUGCCUUAUUCUCUAAGUAGCUACUUUUCAGACCUUUGGGGGUGGCAUGCAGGACUACAUUAGUCAUCACCACUGCCAUUCUUCUCUACAUUAUUUCUGUGUAUUUCUACAUAUGUGAGGAGUGCCCACCUCCCGGAAUAGCCGAGUGUGUUAAGAAACCUCCUAUUUUAGUCCCGUUCCCAACUGAGUGAGAAUAGCCUUGCUUACCCUCAACUAAUUCCAAAGGAAUUAAACCAGACCGUGAAAUCACCACACAAAGUUCUCCCCUCUCUCUAACUCUAUAAUUCUCUCUAAACCUCACCUUGAAUCUGCAAUUUCAUAUAUGUAAAUAGUACUGUGAAAUAACCCCGUAUCUAUCCAUGGCUUAAUUAUGACUAAUUUUAGUCUGAUUAAUUUACUCCUCUCUCUUUUAAUCCUUCAAGAAUGGUACACCUUCCUGUCACUAAAUUCUUUAAUCUUUUCCCAUUAGACCACCAGGCAUAAUACUAAUUUUAAUCUUGUCCUUUACAGAUACGAGACCUAUGUUCUACCCCAUGUCGUUCUCUCCCCAAUCCUCUUACCAAGUCACGAAUAAAUAUGAGUAACACGUUUAUAAAAAGUUAAAUAACUCCACAACUUUAAAUGGGAGGUCAUAUUUGAAGGAAAAGCACUGGAGCAGGAAUUAAGAAAACUGCAACCUGCUUCAAGAUCUGCCACUAAAUAUAUGUUUUAUCUAGAUUCAAACCCAAUGGUUUAUGGGUCUCAAGCUCCUCAUGUAUGAGUUGAAGGAAUGGCAAAAGAUGAUCUCCAGUUCUAAAAAUUCUAUAAUUUGAUAAAGUCUCUAAGUCCUUGAUAGCGAUACAGGAAGAGAAAUAAUAUGGUAUACUGGAAAGGACUCCAAAGAUCUGUGUUUGAAUCUUGGCCUUAACUGAGAGUCCUUGGGAGCAAAUUCUUCAGUUUUUCUAGGUUUAUUUUGUUUGCUUACCUGGAAAAUAGGGAGGUGGGAGCCAAAUCAUGGACUUUCAGAAUUAGUAGGUUAAAGAAAACUGGAUCCAAACUCUUAUUCUUUUUCAGAUGAAGAAACCUAGGUUUUGAGAAAUUAAAUGAUUUACCCAAAGUCACACAGCUAAUAAAUAUGUUGGACCAGGUGUUCAGAUUCUAAAUCCAAUGGGAUUUCCAUUACAACCCAACACCCAACAUCUGAACAAUUUCAUAAUUUGUUGACAUUUCUAUUUUUUUCAAGCCUCAAUAUUUUUCUUUCCAUGUACCAUAAUUUUAUCAAAUAUAGAAGUUUAUUAGUUCUCUGUUUAUACUAUUCUGACCUAAAAUUUCUUUAUACCUUUUCCUGACCCUUUGACCACUCAUCUUAAUAAAUUUAGCUCAUUUCAACAGGGAUUUCUUAAAGUACCCAAUGUGUGCAAGGUACUAGGUAAAGUCCUAGGAAUCCAAAUUUAGGAGUGGGGAGGGAGGGGAAUGACAGUCCUUAUUCUUCAAGGAACAUACCUCCUUCCAAACAGAGUCUAUAAAUUGGCAACUGAUUGGAUAUGGUUUUAGAAGCUAUGAAUUUAGAUGAUUGGUUUCCUAUUCAACAAAAAUAGGGUCCUUGGAGGAGAGACAAGUAAAGAGGUUAGACUUAGAAAUGGGAAGAGCUAUUUCUUCCUCUGAAAUUAAAGCCAAGAAUAGGAUAGUGAAAAUAGGCAUUGAGGUGUGAUAUAGGGAAAAUGAAAGUUCAUGAGAAAUAGCCUUAAUUUUCUCAGAGCAUAAAGUGAUAUCCUCCUGGGGUGCUAAGGGAAGAACAGGGGCCACAAGUUGGAAAUAGUUACUUCUGAGUGUGUGAUAAAGAAACAGUGGGGAAGAAUAAAAACAUUGCAAUUUGGCAAUGAUUCAGUUUAAACUCUGUAAGAGAUCUUAUGAUUCAGGCUGGAAGAGAUUUCAGAUAAAAGACCUGUCUUCUAAUUAACUGUAUCCUACAGAGUAAUGGUCUAUAAAUGUUGACUCCUGUUGCAUAAAUGGGUAUUAGCCAUCCCAGAAUAUACUGACAAUAGUUUUUUUGAAGGACGAAAAGAAAGGAAAGGUAAACAUUGGAUAUCGCCGUUUGUUGGAAAAUCAGAGGUUGCUUUCUAAAUAAUUGCCAUGGAUGGAUAUAUGCAAAGAAAUGGCCAGACUGCCUUGUUGAGGCCCCUAACAGCUGAUAUCUCAGACACCACAUGCCCUCCUAGAUGAAUUUUAUUCUAUUUUUUUCCUCCCUGGCCAAUGUUUUUUUGUUUUUUUGGUCAACCAGAUCCCGUCUUCAUAGAUUACCUGCUCAAAAAAGUUGUGAUUGAACUAUGAGUAAUUUAUGGCAUAAAGUGACCCCAAUCCAAAUCCUAAGGAGAUCACAUCAGGGGACAUCUGCUAACUAUGAUGGUAUUCAAGGAAUAAUUAUAUGACCUGAAAACUAUCCAAGAGGUCAUUUGGUCCUUGCUACAACCUACCACUUCUUAGACUUCAUCUAGAAGUUUUAUGAUAAAAAUUCUUUUUCAUGUAUCUCUUUUAUUAUUAAUCUUCCUGUUUUCUUGUCACAUAAAUUACUUAUUCAUAUUUUAAAAUAAUCAUUGGACCCUUUAAUGAUUUUCCCUUAGUUUGACAGUCAGAUUUUAAUUAUUUCUGUUAUUUCCACUUACAAUCCUUCUAGGUACAAUAUAUGCCCUCUUUUCCAAUAUCCUAAUCAAAUCAACUCAUUUUAACUUGCUUCUUGCAUCUGGAGGCAGCUGGAAUCAUCUAUGAAUAUACUGCAGCAAUAUCCUUAAAGCCCUCCCAAUAAGUCCCUUUGUUCAUUUUCUCUAAGCUCAUUGGAGAAUAGAAUUACAUAUGUGUGAUUGUUCAGAUUUGGAAACUUUAGUAUUCAUUCAAUUCAGUGAGAUUACCCCAGUAUUCUCAGUCACACAUGCACACAUAAACAUACAUUUACUGUAAUUAUAUGUUGCAUAAUUUGUUCUUUUAUAGAGAAUUCAUAUUAUUUACAAACAACCCAACUGCUAGAAACCACCAUGUGACAAUUACAAAAAUAAAGUGUCAUUUUAUAUGUCCAAAUAUCAAAUUUUUAAAGUCACAAUUUUCUGAACUUUUUUGUAAUAAAUGAAACACGUUCUCCUCCUUUGCUUUUGGAUGACUAGGGAGCAUUUGGAGGUGCCCUGAUGGAAGGCUAAAAACCAAUGUGAAGCCAAAUAUUGUGUUUUAGGGCUCAGUGGCAAAGUGAAAUAGCAAGUUUAGGCAAUGAUUUUUUUCCCAUUUAAAGAAAAAACAAAAACCCUAUUGUUGUGAGGGAUAAGAAACGUGUGGGAGUAAAGAUGGACUGAAAAUUUCUAUUGCAGUUAUCCAUAUUGAACUCACUGAGAUUUACUUUUUCCCUUGACUCUGCUCAGAUGCAACAACCUGAUGCAAUGGGUCUUUAUAAAGGACUCUAUGAAUUAUGAAGGCAGGGUUAAUCUGUUUUCUUAACUAACAAACUAGAUAUCAGAACACCUUUUAUAGUCUCAUCUAAUAGCAGGUAAAGUAUCUCUGGAGAUUCAUCUAACAACUACAAGUAAAGGAAAUUUCUUAUACUAGCCCCCCUGUGAAGACUAUGGUACUUCACUAACACGUGUCCUGUUAUAAAGAACUGGGUUUUUCUAAAGCACAGGCCACCCUUUUUGAACAAAGAUAGAUCCACUGAAGCCUCUUAGGCACAGUCAUAACUUGGGAUCCUUAUGCAAGGGGCAAGCAUCACACAAUGCACAAAGAUGAAUUCAAGUGAAGUAAGGGCACAUGGUGGAAAUGGGAAGAGACUCUAGACCAGGUCCUUUGGAGGAGGAAGAGAAAGAGCGCCCCAAGUCCAGUUGGGUCUACCUUCCAAAAGAGUACCAGUGCUUUGAGCACCUCCCAAAUUCUAGUAUCCUAGAGCAAAGCCCCCAAUUACUCCUUGUUAUGGCUCUGUUCUUACAAAACAUUCCAUUUCUGCUAAAACUCGCCAAAUAUUUCUAGAAUGUUAGAUAUUCUGAUUUCUUGUCGUGUUUUAAAAAUCUCCAACUAAUCAAUUUGCUGAACAAUUUAAAGUACCCUCUCAGUAGUCAAAUCCAUUCCUAAAGAGCUAAUUCUUAAUCAUGAAUUUUAAUAUACCACACACUCUAUUAGAAGAUUGAUAACAUGAUUGGUAGUACAUGGCUCUUGUAAAUAAAAUACUCCUUUUAUCUGUUUCUUUUUUCAGCAGGAAGAACCUAUUUGUUUAAUUACAGACACAUAAAUUGCAAUAUUUUACAAAUGCUCUUUUGACAUACACAUUUGCUUUGUUACAAAAGCAAGAUUGUUGCAGUGAUACUUUUUAUACACCAGUCAUACUGCAAAACUAAAUGGUAAAAAUAAGACAAAAUGAGUAUUUCUGAAAACAUGGGUAAAUUUUUAUGAAAUGGAACUGGUUGAACAAAUGCCAAGGAUGGGCAGGUCGACUACUUAAUUUUAUAAUUCAAUUUUUCUAUUUUGUAUUGGUAUAUGCUGCAUUUUCUGAUUCCAACUGCUGUCCUGUCCAAUGAAAUUUGUGAAUCUCUGUAGAUGCUUUUUACACAUGAAAUCAGACUUUCAUACAGUGCGUACUUUAUUGUACCCUUUUGUUAGGAAUUUCGUUAAGACAGUCGAACAGUUAGUCAUUCCUUCUUACGUGCUUAAAGGUCUGUAUAUCUUUUGAUUCCUUCAUCGUCUCCAAGGCUCUCUGUGCAUAAUAUCCAUGAAAACCUAUAGACUGUGAUUUAUACAAUUAUUCUAAGAUGUAGGUUUCCCUCAAGUGCAGUGAAUCAAAGAACCAGAAACUGUUAAAUGGCCUCUGAUUCUUGGCCCCCUUUGGUCCUUAAAACCUUUUUCUAUUCUUUGUCAUUCAUACAACUUUGUGUCUUUUUCAAAUUACAAUCAACCUGACAUAUAAUCAGGUAUGGACACAAGAAGUGCUUGUACGAUUGACUUGAGGACAUAGAGCUAUUUUAGCAGUCACAGAACUGUAGUUUGGUCAAUAUUUCCUUCCCUUGUCUUGUGGCUUUGACCUCCUGUAAGCUGUUUCCUUUGCUUUCCUAUCACAAGGUGUUAUAUGCUGCAGUAACUGAUUGAAUGGAAAACUUCUGAAGACCAGUGUCAAAACCAUCAGCAGUAUUUCCCAAACCCUUUGUGCAGCUUCAGAAAUGUAGAAUUUGCUGUAAAUAUGUACACUUCAUGUUAGCUUGUUUAUCCUAAGAACACAAAUAAAACAUUGUUUUUUUAUUUUUUAAAAAAAUGCUUACAUUUGAAAAGCUUACUUUGUACUGCGGUUGAAAACAUGCAAGCUUUCAGGAAUCUUUUUAUAGUCUGUUGUCUUGAAGCAGUUGUAGAAAUCUGAAUCUAUCAUUUGUGAACUUUUGUUGUAAAAUGCAAGACAAAACAAACCCCUUUAUUUGGAAAGAAUUCUUUGCGUUCUUCUCCAACAAUUGGAAAACUAAAGAUACCAGCAUAUUUUCCAGGAACUUAGUUCUGCUCUACUUUCACGUUGGCUUUUCUAAAUCUUCUUAAGCCACAAACCUUCUAAGUAUCUGAAUUCUCCUUUAGAACACGAGUAUGUUUAUAUAUUAUAAAAGGAAAAAAAAAAACUCAAUGGAAUUGUCUUGUACUCAAAAUGAUGUGCAAAACUGAUGUGUCCAUUUAUCCGACUUGUUCACAUUCCACUGUAAAUAGAAGUAUCAGAGGUUGACCUGUUUAUCAUUCAGUCUCCUGAUUCUAACCACAUCGCCUUCUCCCCCUCGCCCACGCUCUGCUCCUUACCUUCAAAAAUGUGUUGAUAAUAAAAUGAUGAACAUACUAAAGGUGUGAGCUCAUUUGUGGUUCAAAAAAUAGCUCAGCAAGGUGGCCAGAGAUCACAGUGAGACAGAAACGUUUAUACUUCACUUGGCCGAUGGAUUCUGGUGUCUUGGCAAAUGUUUGUCAGUUGCAAACACGUGUUCUGGGUAAAGAAACUGAGUUUUAAAAAGGACAGGCCUGGACAAAUAAAAGAAAUGUUAUUACCAAGUUUUAAAGUGAGAUAAGGUGGGAAAAACCGGGGUUUUUUUGGUUUUGUUUUGUUUGUUUUAUCCAAUUUGCAGUGGUUACACAAGGCUUUUCCUCACUGGAAGUUCCAUAUGCCAAUGAAAUCACAGGUCCAAACCAAUAUUUUAAAAAAGGUUGGGGGAGAUUAAAGCAGGUAUUCUCAUCGGAGAAGGAAAAAAAAACAACACACCUUUAUAUUGGUCUUGACAAGUCUUCUGGCUAAUAUAAAAAGUAACUAUUUCAUUAACUCAUUCAUUGUGCAACAUUUACCCCAGAGAGCAUGACAUCAUGCAUAGAAUGGAAGAAGCAGUCAAGGU